CAGCCGCCGCGGGAAUACAGAGGGUGCGAGCGUUAAUCGGAUUUACUGGGCGUAAAGCGUGCGUAGGCGGCUUCUUAAGUCGGAUGUGAAAUCCCUGAGCUUAACUCAGGAAUUGCAUUCGAUACUGGGAAGCUAGAGUAUGGGAGAGGAUGGUAGAAUUCCAGGUGUAGCGGUGAAAUGCGUAGAGAUCUGGAGGAAUACCGAUGGCGAAGGCAGCCAUCUGGCCUAAUACUGACGCUGAGGUACGAAAGCAUGGGGAGCAAACAGGAUUAGAUACCCGCGUAGUCCCUGUCUCUUAUAA
This 301-nucleotide ribosomal RNA is filed under the name uncultured bacterium. RNAcentral's name for it is "partial 16S ribosomal RNA". It matches the Rfam family "Bacterial small subunit ribosomal RNA", at positions 509 to 809 of the family's 1533-position model. The record is from RNAcentral.